Molecule: non-coding RNA, 27 nt
Filed under: Cricetulus griseus (Chinese hamster)
Lineage: Eukaryota; Metazoa; Chordata; Mammalia; Rodentia; Cricetidae
Source: RNAcentral
AACCGAAUUUCUGCAUUUAACUACAAA